GAUUAACGCUGGCGGCGUGCAUAACACAUGCAAGUCGAACGAUGAAACUUAACUGAUUUCUUCGGAAUGAUUUUAAGUGGAUUAGUGGCGGACGGGUGAGUAACGCGUGAGUACCCUGCCUUGGAGAAGGGGAUAGCCUUUGGAAACGAAGAAUAAUACCCUAUGAUAUGAUAAUAUCUCAUGAUAUUAUCAUCAAAGAUUUAUCGCUCUAGGAUGGACUUGCGUCUGAUUAGUUAGUUGGUGAGGUAACAGCUCACCAAGGCAGCGAUCAGUAGCCGGCUUGAGAGAGUGUACGGCCACAUUGGGACUGAGACACGGCCCAGACUCCUACGGGAGGCAGCAGUGGGGAAUUUUGCACAAUGGGGGAAACCCUGAUGCAGCGACGCCGCGUGAUUUAGAAGGCCUUCGGGUUGUAAAAAUCUUUUGUAUGGGAAGAAAAUGACAGUACCAUACGAAUAAGGACCGGCUAAUUACGUG
This 477-nucleotide ribosomal RNA is filed under the name uncultured bacterium. RNAcentral's name for it is "partial 16S ribosomal RNA". It matches the Rfam family "Bacterial small subunit ribosomal RNA", at positions 28 to 507 of the family's 1533-position model. The record is from RNAcentral.